AUUCAUUCAGCUCUGGCAAUAACACAGGUCCAGUGUAUGCUUGGUGGAUUUUCAAGCAAGAGAAGGGGAUGGCCUUCCUAAUGCACAGCAGACCUGCCCCAAAGUGGCUUCUCUGUUCCCAAGAGUACAUCAGCU
RNAcentral lists this small nucleolar RNA (135 nucleotides) under Neotoma lepida (desert woodrat). RNAcentral's name for it is "Small nucleolar RNA SNORA64/SNORA10 family". It matches the Rfam family "Small nucleolar RNA SNORA64/SNORA10 family". From Rfam's summary of the family: This family belongs to the H/ACA class of small nucleolar RNAs (snoRNAs) which act as guides in the the modification of uridines to pseudouridines. The record is from Rfam by way of RNAcentral. Lineage: Eukaryota; Metazoa; Chordata; Mammalia; Rodentia; Cricetidae.